Molecule: ribosomal RNA, 866 nt
Filed under: Eusphyra blochii
Lineage: Eukaryota; Metazoa; Chordata; Chondrichthyes; Carcharhiniformes; Sphyrnidae
Description: partial 16S large subunit ribosomal RNA
Rfam family: Bacterial large subunit ribosomal RNA (bases 191-695)
Source: RNAcentral
ACCUCAAAGCUAGCCUAUAUAUCAACUUCAACUAGACCUAAUAAAUCUAAUUCACACUAUAAUUUUUUAACCAAAACAUUCUUAACCUUUUAGUAUGGGCGACAGAACAAUAACUUCAGCGCAAUAGCUUAUGUACCGCAAGGGAAAGCUGAAAAAGAAAUGAAAUAAAUUAUUAAAGUACUAAAAAGCAGAGAUUACAUCUCGUACCUUUUGCAUCAUGAUUUAGCUAGAAAAACUAGGCAAAAAGAUCUUAAGUCUAUCCUCCCGAAACUAAACGAGCUACUCCGAAGCAGCAUUAUAGAGCUAACCCGUCUCUGUGGCAAAAGAGUGGGAAGACUUCCGAGUAGCGGUGAAAAGCCUACCGAGUUUAGUGAUAGCUGGUUACCCAAAAAAAGAACUUCAAUUCUGCAUUAAUUUUUUAAUUACCUAGACAAGACUCUCCUUAUCAAAGGAACUCAUAAGAAUUAAUAGUUAUUUAGAAGAGGUACAGCCCUUCUAAACCAAGAUACAACUUUUUAAGAUGGGAAAUGAUCAUAAUUACCAAGGUAAUCCCCUCAGUGGGCCUAAAAGCAGCCACCUGUAAAGCAAGCGUCGCAGCUCCAGCUCAAUAACCAAACCCUUAAUCCCGAUACCCACUCACUACCCUCCUUACUUAUUGGGUUAUUUUAUAAAAAUAUAAAAGAACUUAUGCUAAAAUGAGUAAUAAAGAGAAUAUAUCUCUCCUAACACAAGUGUAUGUCAGAAGAAUUAAAUCACUGAUAAUUAAACGGCCCCAAACUGAGGCUACUAUACUAUUUAAACAUCAACCAGAAAACCCUAUUCUUCCACCCGUUAACCCUACACAGGAGUGUUACCAGGAAAGAUUA